RNAcentral lists this long non-coding RNA (788 nucleotides) under Capra hircus (goat). RNAcentral describes it as "lncRNA (ENSCHIG00000006377.1)". The record is from RNAcentral. Lineage: Eukaryota; Metazoa; Chordata; Mammalia; Artiodactyla; Bovidae.
GGGAGACUUGGCUGUCCACACACACAUCCCACACUGUCAUUAAGCCCUCUUGGCAUGACAGCAGCUACAGUUCAUUAUCCUGGGUGGUAGCUGGAGAGGCGGGGAGCUCUAUUCUUUGCAUUUUCUUUGGGAAAAAAGUGUCUUUUAAAUGUUCGUUUGCAACACAACACAGGCAGCUAAAUGGAAGAGGAUGUGGUCUGGUGAUUCGUGAAGGAACCCAAACGAGGAGGGGCUGUGCUCAAUUUCUGACAGCCCAGUGAUUUAUUAAAAAAAAAAAAAAAAGACACCCCCCCCCCCCACAACCAAAUGGAUACUUGCACUGGCCUGAGGAGUAUAAGAAUUUCUCAGUGGACUUUUAGGCUCAUUGCAUGUCUGCAACUCUCAGAAUGCACCGUGUGCUGUGCUUCUAGAACAAGGUACACACAGCUGCCCACUGAACAGCUGUACACCAAGACAGAGAUACCAGCUUGGGCAAGUGGCUCGGAUGCUCUGUGAAGUUCUAUUCCCGCAAGAUGGUGCAUGGGGCCAAAAUACCUUUCUCAUGAUCUAAUGGACUUGGGGAAAUGCUUCCUCUUGGUGAUUCACAGUGGACAUUUAUAUACUCACAGCUUUUAGAAACCUGGCAUGAGUGAAACCUAUUUCCUUUUGAUUUAAAAGCAUUUCCUGUCUUUUUUUUUUUAACCGUGGAGUUUUCCUGUCCUCCUUUUAUCCUCAAAGAAUACCUGUCCCUGGAACAAAGCUUGGCCUUUGCCCUCGGAUAUAUAAAUAUAUAUCAAAAUAAAAACAAG